CCCUCUCCAUGGGGGUGUGUUCCAGAGAGCUGUGACAUUUCAGCACCCCCUUAGUGUUUUCCUGAUUGCCCCUAUAUCAGGGUCACUGUCCAGCACACCACUGUCCUAGGGGUGUCAAUGCCCUGUGCUAGAGCAUCAGUAGUCUCCUAUUCCUUAUUUUUUCCAAGGGACGAGGUGGUGAAAUUUAGCAGGAAGUGCGGACCCUGGUGUGACUGAUGUCAUCAUGUUUGAAUUUUUCUGCUCAGAUUCUGGAAGGGCUGGAGGAAGUCGAGCUGCCUCAGACACCCCAGUACACAGACACCUUUAAUGACACCUCUGUUCACUGGUUCCCUGCACAAAAGCUGGAACAGCUCUCCAGGGAUGUGUGGGCAUUUGGGGAAGAACCAGAGUAUCAGGACUGCGAGGACCUUGAAAUCAUCAGGAAGAUAACGAUAGACCCUGUUGCUGACCUGCACUCACUACAGUGCACCUCACCAGCUGAGGUGCUUUUAGGAUGAUGUAUAGCCUGAGAACUCAGUGUGAAGACCGACACUGGUCAGCCAGGUGCGGUGGCACAUGCCUGUCAUCCCAGCAG
RNAcentral lists this long non-coding RNA (574 nucleotides) under Marmota monax (woodchuck). The record is from RNAcentral. Lineage: Eukaryota; Metazoa; Chordata; Mammalia; Rodentia; Sciuridae.